AUGUUUGAGCACAAUUAUUCCUCUUUUAGGUUCAAAAACAGGACACGUAAGCCAGUGUCAAUAUUUCCUGAACUGGAACAAAGGCUUGAUUUUUUGAUUAGACAAAAUGUUGUCACUGCACAGACUCUGCGGAAAAUUGAAGAUAUUCUGGCUUUGGAACUGGGAAAAGUUCAGCUGGACUCUCCAAAGCAUGUGCCAACAUCAACAGAUGCUUCACCCUUUAAAGUGGAGAAAGACGAGUCCAGUUCUCUUGCUGCAAAAAGGAGAAAGCUAAUGCACCCUGUUGACCCAGCUGGAAAUCACUAUCCGCAGCAAAACCCAGGAGACAAGGAGUGCCCUUGGCAGCCUUUGGACUUCUGCAGUGGAAAGCCUUCAGCACCUGCUCCAGAGCCUGCGGGGAACGGGCCCUUUAGUGAUGAGGACAAGAGCACAGGGGGAGUUGUAUUCAGACACUCAGCAGGAACAAAUGUGAAAAAAGAUCAGCAAGCAAGGUCUUUUCUUCAGUGCUCGCUUUCCUAAGCCGAAGGAUGUUUCCUUUCCAUCAUGUUUGGCCUCUGGGACCACUUUCUAAACCACUCUUAGACCAUUAGUGCUGCAAGAACACCAGCAAUUCAGCCAUUUUACCGGUAGCAGGUCCUGCAUGCUUUCCAUCCCAAGGAAAUACAUUGCAAUGCUCAGCACCUUGUUGAAUCUCCCUGUGGGUCUUCUCUUCCUGAACCACUUUGCCAGCAUGGAAAGAAGAGAACGGUGACAAGCGACUCGAGGGAAGAUUGACUUGAAGCAGGAACCUAUUUGAGAAGUUUGAGUCUAUUAGCUUGUUGCACCAUUUUUUUCCGCUUUCCUAAAACAUUUCAUAAUGUCUAUUUGAAAAAUAGUAUGCAAGGCCUUCGUUUAAUAAAGGCUCUUCUUCAUGGUUAAUUUGCAUCCUUCUGGAGA
Molecule: long non-coding RNA, 936 nt
Filed under: Varanus komodoensis (Komodo dragon)
Lineage: Eukaryota; Metazoa; Chordata; Lepidosauria; Squamata; Varanidae
Description: lncRNA (ENSVKKG00000013269.1)
Source: RNAcentral